This 215-nucleotide ribosomal RNA is filed under the name uncultured Glomus. RNAcentral's name for it is "partial 18S ribosomal RNA". The stretch from base 37 to 215 matches the Rfam family "Eukaryotic small subunit ribosomal RNA", at positions 684 to 864 of the family's 1831-position model. Lineage: Eukaryota; Fungi; Glomeromycota; Glomeromycetes; Glomerales; Glomeraceae. The record is from RNAcentral.
GGAUCAAUUUGCUGGUCGUGCUAUGGUACGUACUGGUUUUGUUGGUUCCUCCUUUCCAAGGAACCGCGAUGUCAUUAAUUUGGUGUCGCGGGGAAUCUGGACUGUUACUUUGAAAAAAUUAGAGUGUUUAAAGCAGGCUAACGCUUGAAUACAUUAGCAUGGAAUAAUGAAAUAGGACGUUUGAUCCUAUUUUGUUGGUUUCUAGGAUCGACGUA